GGGAAGUUGGGAUUUGAUUAUAUUAUUAUAAAUUACUGCCGCGGGUGAGAGAAUUGGGAUGUUGUAAGGAGAUGACGGAUAAGAAGAAGAAGAAGAAGAACAAAAAGAAGAAGAAAAGAGACAAGAUGAUGNNNNNNNNCUGCGAUUGAGAUAGGGAUAGAGAUAAGAGUUUGAAUAGUCCGUCUGUUUCUCGGGAAAAUUUCAGUUA
This 208-nucleotide unclassified non-coding RNA is filed under the name Hevea brasiliensis (rubber tree). The record is from RNAcentral. Lineage: Eukaryota; Viridiplantae; Streptophyta; Magnoliopsida; Malpighiales; Euphorbiaceae.